AGUGAACGCUGGCGGUAGGCCUAACACAUGCAAGUCGAACGGCAGCACAGUAAGAGCUUGCUCUUACGGGUGGCGAGUGGCGGACGGGUGAGGAAUACAUCGGAAUCUACUUUUUCGUGGGGGAUAACGUAGGGAAACUUACGCUAAUACCGCAUACGACCUACGGGUGAAAGCAGGGGAUCUUCGGACCUUGCGCGAUUGAAUGAGCCGAUGUCGGAUUAGCUAGUUGGCGGGGUAAAGGCCCACCAAGGCGACGAUCCGUAGCUGGUCUGAGAGGAUGAUCAGCCACACUGGAACUGAGACACGGUCCAGACUCCUACGGGAGGCAGCAGUGGGGAAUAUUGGACAAUGGGCGCAAGCCUGAUCCAGCCAUACCCGUGGGUGAAGAAGGCCUUCGGGUUGUAAAGCCCUUUUGUUGGGAAAGAAAAGCAGCAGGUUAAUACCCCGCUGUUCUGACGGUACCCAAAGAAUAAGCACCGGCUAACUUCGUG
Molecule: ribosomal RNA, 491 nt
Filed under: uncultured bacterium
Lineage: Bacteria
Description: partial 16S ribosomal RNA
Rfam family: Bacterial small subunit ribosomal RNA
Source: RNAcentral